RNAcentral lists this ribosomal RNA (334 nucleotides) under uncultured eukaryote. RNAcentral describes it as "partial 18S ribosomal RNA". It matches the Rfam family "Eukaryotic small subunit ribosomal RNA", at positions 1470 to 1796 of the family's 1831-position model. The record is from RNAcentral.
CCCUUAGAUGUCCGGGGCCGCACGCGCGCUACACUGAAGGAAUCAGCGUGGCUUUCUCCCUGACCCGAAAGGGUUGGGAAACCCGUUGAAUCUCCUUCGUGAUAGGGAUUGGGGCUUGAAAUUGUUCCCCAUGAACGAGGAAUUCCCAGUAAGCGCGAGUCAUAAGCUCGCGUUGAUUACGUCCCUGCCCUUUGUACACACCGCCCGUCGCUACUACCGAUUGAACGGUUUAGUGAGGGCCUCGGAUUGGUCUCGGCCCGCUCUUUACCGGGCGGCGCCGUUGGUCGAGAAGACGCUCGAACUUGAUCGUUUUGAGGAAGUAAAAGUCGUAACA